RNAcentral lists this ribosomal RNA (303 nucleotides) under uncultured bacterium. RNAcentral's name for it is "partial 16S ribosomal RNA". It matches the Rfam family "Bacterial small subunit ribosomal RNA", at positions 507 to 807 of the family's 1533-position model. The record is from RNAcentral.
AGCAGUAGCCGCGGUAAUACGUAGGUGGCAAGCGUUGUCCGGAAUUAUUGGGCGCAAAGGGCUCGCAGGCGGUUUCUUAAGUCUGAUGUGAAAGCCCCCGGCUCAACCGGGGAGGGUCAUUGGAAACUGGGAAACUUGAGUGCAGAAGAGGAGAGUGGAAUUCCACGUGUAGCGGUGAAAUGCGUAGAGAUGUGGAGGAACACCAGUGGCGAAGGCGACUCUCUGGUCUGUAACUGACGCUGAGGAGCGAAAGCGUGGGGAGCGAACAGGAUUAGAUACCCGCGUAGUCCCUGUCUCUUAUAC